GACGAACGCUGGCGGCGUGCUUAACACAUGCAAGUCGAACGGAAAGGCCCUGCUUGCAGGGUGCUCGAGUGGCGAACGGGUGAGUAACACGUGGGUGAUCUGCCCUGCACUUUGGGAUAAGCCUGGGAAACUGGGUCUAAUACCGGAUAUACCCUGCUGGUCGCAUGGCCUGGUGGGGGAAAGUUUUCGGACGGUGUGGGAUGAGCCCGCGGCCUAUCAGCUUGUUGGUGGGGUGAUGGCCUACCAAGGCUGCGACGGGUAGCCGGCCUGAGAGGGU
Molecule: ribosomal RNA, 277 nt
Filed under: uncultured bacterium
Lineage: Bacteria
Description: partial 16S ribosomal RNA
Rfam family: Bacterial small subunit ribosomal RNA
Source: RNAcentral